GACGAACGCUGGCGGCGUGCUUAACACAUGCAAGUCGAGCGGUAAGGCCCUUUCGGGGGUACGACGAGCGGCGAACGGGUGAGUAACACGUGGGUGACCUGCCCUUACGCUCUGGGAUAAGCCUGGGAAACUGGGUCUAAUACCGGAUAUGACUCCAUGACGCAUGUUGUGGGGUGGAAAGCCUUGUGCGGCUAGGGAUGGGCCUGCGGCCUAUCAGCUUGUUGGUGGGGUGAUGGCCUACCAAGGCGACGACGGGUAGCCGGCCUGAGAGGGCGACCGGCCACACUGGGACUGAGACACGGCCCAGACUCCUACGGGAGGCAGCAGUGGGGAAUCUUGCGCAAUGGGCGAAAGCCUGACGCAGCGACGCCGCGUGGGGAUGACGGCCU
Molecule: ribosomal RNA, 389 nt
Filed under: uncultured bacterium
Lineage: Bacteria
Description: bacterial SSU rRNA
Rfam family: Bacterial small subunit ribosomal RNA
Source: RNAcentral